This 253-nucleotide ribosomal RNA is filed under the name uncultured bacterium. Its description in RNAcentral is "partial 16S ribosomal RNA". It matches the Rfam family "Bacterial small subunit ribosomal RNA", at positions 524 to 776 of the family's 1533-position model. The record is from RNAcentral.
UACGUAGGGUCCGAGCGUUGUCCGGAAUUACUGGGCGUAAAGAGCUCGUAGGUGGUUUGUCGCGUUGUUCGUGAAAACUCACAGCUUAACUGUGGGCGUGCGGGCGAUACGGGCAGACUAGAGUACUGCAGGGGAGACUGGAAUUCCUGGUGUAGCGGUGGAAUGCGCAGAUAUCAGGAGGAACACCGGUGGCGAAGGCGGGUCUCUGGGCCAUUACUGACGCUGAGGAGCGAAAGCGUGGGGAGCGAACAGG